This 488-nucleotide ribosomal RNA is filed under the name uncultured bacterium. Its description in RNAcentral is "partial 16S ribosomal RNA". It matches the Rfam family "Bacterial small subunit ribosomal RNA", at positions 30 to 507 of the family's 1533-position model. The record is from RNAcentral.
AUUGAACGCUGGCGGCAUGCUUUACACAUGCAAGUCGAACGGCAGCACAGGGAGCUUGCUCCUGGGUGGCGAGUGGCGAACGGGUGAGUAAUGUAUCGGAACGUGCCUGGUAGUGGGGGAUAACUACUCGAAAGAGUGGCUAAUACCGCAUGAGAUCUUUGGAUGAAAGCGGGGGACCUUCGGGCCUCGUGCUACUGGAGCGGCCGGUAUCAGAUUAGGUGGUUGGUGGGGUAACGGCCUACCAAGCCUGCGAUCUGUAGCUGGUCUGAGAGGACGACCAGCCACACUGGGACUGAGACACGGCCCAGACUCCUACGGGAGGCAGCAGUGGGGAAUUUUGGACAAUGGGCGCAAGCCUGAUCCAGCAAUGCCGCGUGCAGGACGAAGGCCUUCGGGUUGUAAACUGCUUUUGUACAGAACGAAAAGUCUCUGGCUAAUAUCUAGAGAUCAUGACGGUACUGGAAGAAUAAGCACCGGCUAACUACGUG